Vulpes vulpes (red fox) is the source of this 103-nucleotide small nuclear RNA. Lineage: Eukaryota; Metazoa; Chordata; Mammalia; Carnivora; Canidae. The record is from Ensembl.
GUGCUCGCUUUGGCAGUGCAUAUACUAAAGUUGGAACUAGACAAGAAAGAUUAGCAUGGACCUGCACAAGGAUGGUGUGCAAACUCGUAUAUUAUGUAUUUUU